CAAUCCAGGUCGGUUUCUAUCUAUGCAGCUACUUCUUCAGUACGAAAGGACAAAGAAGGAGGGGCCCUGCCACAAGCACACCCCAAACCAAUAACUGAACAAAGCUAAAGUUAAAUAGCUACCACCACGACCAAAGAUCGUGGUCU
This 146-nucleotide ribosomal RNA is filed under the name Plestiodon brevirostris (shortnose skink). Its description in RNAcentral is "partial 16S ribosomal RNA". The record is from RNAcentral. Lineage: Eukaryota; Metazoa; Chordata; Lepidosauria; Squamata; Scincidae.